This 320-nucleotide unclassified non-coding RNA is filed under the name Hevea brasiliensis (rubber tree). Lineage: Eukaryota; Viridiplantae; Streptophyta; Magnoliopsida; Malpighiales; Euphorbiaceae. The record is from RNAcentral.
GAAUGCACUCAAAGUCUUACACAUGGAAAAAGUGCACUUUCCUUCCCUGCCUUCAUCACUUUGUUUUAUGGAAAGCCUUCGAACUUUAUGUCUUGAUCGAUGUGUGCUGGUAGAUGUAGCCAUAGUUGGACAACUGAAGAAAUUAGUCAUUCUUAGCUUUGCUGGAUCCGAUAUUGCACAGUUGCCAAAGGAGUUUAAGCAACUGACUCGUCUAAAGGCGUUGGAUUUGAGCAAUUGCACGAAACUCAAAGUCAUACCACCCAAUGUCCUCUCAAGCAUGUUCCAAUUAGAGGAGCUACAUAUGGCAAAUAGCUUUGUUG